CAUUAAGAAGCUAUAGGACUUCAGCAACAGCCUUUUAAGCUGUAGAUAGGUGCUUUCCAAACACCCUUAGUGG
This 73-nucleotide transfer RNA is filed under the name Telmatobufo australis. RNAcentral describes it as "tRNA-Lys". The record is from RNAcentral. Lineage: Eukaryota; Metazoa; Chordata; Amphibia; Anura; Calyptocephalellidae.